This 218-nucleotide long non-coding RNA is filed under the name Panax ginseng (ginseng). RNAcentral describes it as "long non-coding RNA (PGIN_LNC003371)". The record is from RNAcentral. Lineage: Eukaryota; Viridiplantae; Streptophyta; Magnoliopsida; Apiales; Araliaceae.
UUAGAAGUAAUUGUUUUGGAUAGUGAGCACCAAAUCCUGUGGGAAUGAAGUACCCGAAUUUGGGGGUGUCACAAUAGUCUAAAGAUUCUCGCUCCUAAAGUUUAUAACCUAAUGAUACCAACAUGUGACACCCCAAAAUUCAAACAUCCAUAUCUCGAAUUUGGUACAUCACGUACUAAUCCAAAUAAUAAAUCAAAAUCUCACACAACGAAAAAUAG